CGUUCCGGGGCCCUUAAGGCCUCGGGCCUCAGGUGCUGGCUUCACAGCAAAGAGGUCAGAGAGGAGCUGCUCCUCCCCCGACUCAAUGUAGGCAGAGAGGUCAAUGGAGGCCUCAUGCUCACACAUGUCCCCCAGGUCCCCGGGCCCUCCUCGGGCCCCUGAAAACUCGAGUGGCUGCUGGCCGCCCCGGGGCGCACACUCAUAGUAGGACCCGUGGGACAUGGCCGGCCCGCCCCCUUGGCUCCCCGCCCCCGCCGCCCGGCACUUGGGGCACUCCUUGAGAUGCUUGGCCUGCCCUUUCUCGAACUCUCCCUGCCCCAGAUCUGCCCUAGAUCUGCCUCUCCGCUCUCCUCUGUCACCCACUCCUGCGUGGCUUCUCCUCUCCCUCCUCUGCUCUGCUUCCUUUUCCUUCCUCUGUGGUCAAUGCCGCUCCUCUCUUCCUUUUUUUCCCUCUCUCCCUGGGGUGACUCGGGGAGGGGCAGGGCGUACCCCAGAGGGAGGGAUGCAGGCCUCAGAGAAAUGGGUGCCUGGCCUAUUGAGCAGCUGGUGGGCACUCUUUGGUCAGAGUCCAAGCCAGGGUUCUGGAGAUGCCCAGGAGAUGUCUCCUUCUCUCCCUCCUGAGCCCAGGGGAUUCCGGGGUCCUCACGGAGGGCGACACCUCGCUCUGAGUGUUCUCGUCCCUCUGACAUCCAAAAAGUUCUGUGCAGAAUGAGGUACCAAGUCAGAGUGAACCAAGAAAACCCUCUUCCAGUCCCGACCCCCAGCCUGGCCUGAGCUCCUCCCUUGAAACGCCUCCCUCUGGCCCCCUCAGUGCUGGGCUCCACCUACCCCCCAGGGCAGUCAGUUCCUUUUGUAGCCCCACCUCCCAGGGCAUCUUGCUGGGUGAAGGCCAUGGGGUGUUGUUUGAGGGGCUCCGGAAGUAGGGAUAGGUUCGAGGAACAAGCCUUACCCAGGGGCCUGUGCUGUGGCCUAGGGCAUGCUUAUUUGCUACGUAUUUGCACAGGGUCUGCGCAAUAGCCCAAACACCAACAUGUUCUUAGCCUGGCAUAGUGCCCUACUGCCUGCGCUUGGCUGAGGUGUCUGCUCAGGACUUGGGCCCUGCACCCCAGGCCCAGGUAGGCUGUUGCCUGGAACUGACAGCCGAACUCCUCUGGCGGCUCCAGCACCUCUCUCUUCCAGCUCCCCUGUGCUGCCAGAGGCUCGGGCCUGCAUUUGGGUCUGAGGCUCUGCCUCCCAUUUCCUGUGCCCAGGGCUGCAGGGCUCCAGGGCUGCAAGGCUGAGGAGCUCCCAGCAGCUCAGUUUGCUGUCUUUCCUUCUGCCUGGCCGUUGUCUGACCUCCCAUGCGUCUCUCUUGGGCCCACUUCCUCUUAUGAAGCUUGAGAAGCCUUCUCUUUUGUCAUCACCUCUUCCUGGGGCUCUGUCUCAGAGUCUCCAGGAGAAGGCCCUGGCUCAGUUCUCUGCACUUCUUGGUCUUAUGAUGGGCCUCCCUUCCUUUCCCUUUUCUUUUUUCUCUGAAACUCCCAACUCCUUCCUCUCAGAAGCCCUGCUUUCAUCUGUUGAACUUCAUCUCCAAAUGGCGCUUUGGAUCCAGUGAAAAGAAAAGGACAAAUAGAAAUCGCCACUGCCUCUUUUGCCACCAGAAAAUGCUGUGGGUGCCCUCUGGGUGGGCCGGGGGUGUUCAAAAGCACACCAAGGGCUAGGUCACAGUGAAUGGGCCACAGUGGGGCAAACGCUGAGUGGACGUAUGGCUUUGAACACUGAAAUAAAAUAUACAAAUAUAGACAGGGCUGUCUACCAAUCAGACAAGCUACCCCCUAGUUAGCAUCCCCUCUUCCUUCCUCCCGACUCCUCACACCUACCCCAGCAGCUUUUUUGCAUGGCUUGAGAUAUGGCCAGAUACGUUUUCUCCAAAAGCCUUGACCUGGCAUUGGUAGAUGUGCCUGCCUCCGGACACAGAACCCGGGAAUCACAUGAGGAGAUUUCUGCUCUUUCCCCUUUUCACAAGAUCACGUGCCAAAUACGGACCUAAGCUGAGCUACAUUCGUUUCCCUGCAGUGCUUCCGUUGACCACUGGGCGGCAACAUUGGUCCAAAAUUCUGGACUUCCAGUGGAUGCUGUGCUGGGGAAUCACGUGGUCGGCAGAGGGCAGCCUCCCAUAGCCCUGGCAUACGGCCGACCUGCUGGGCAUCAGGAAGGAGGAAGAGGAAAUAUGGUCAGGGUGGGGGCUUGCAGAGCAGUUGUUGGGGAAGUGGGCAGGCUGGGAGGACGGGAGCCAAGGUCUUGUCUAAAUGAGGAAAGGGUCUAUCCCCUGCCCCUCACUUUGAAGUAGUGGUAAUGGCACCAAAAACCCAUUGUCAUCGAGUUGAUUCUGACUGUACAACCCUAUAGGCAGAGUAGAACUGCCCCAUAGGAUUUCCAAGGAGCUCCUGGUGGAUUCGAACUGCUGACCUUUUGCUUAGCGGCUGAGCUCUUAACCACUGUGCCACGAGGGCUCCAGUGAUAAUGGUUAGGCCUUGCAUUUUCUGCUCAAGAUACAAGAGACAGCAAGAGGGGACACCAAGAAGGGGCCAGAUUCCUGGAUGAGUGGAGGCAGGAACUGGGGACUUCUGGGCCCACCUGUGCCUCUGGCUUCCCACAGUGUUUUGCGGGGUAGCUGUAGCUGAAAGGUGGGUUCUUUCUUUGGACAAAUGCUCUCUUUUUGCUCUUCCCCAUGUCCCUUGCUUCAUGUGCUCUACCUGAGUCUCAUAUAGGCCAUGCAAAGGCUGCCCAUAGCCACCUGUCUGGUGAGCAGGGAGGAGCCCUGCAUCCUCCAGGGCACACAGAGAUGAUCCAAUCCACUUUCAGUCCAGUUCCAUAACUUUCCCAACCCUGGGAGACCAGACCCAGAGGCCCCAGGCACAGAUCUCCCUCCUGGUCCCUCUCAGAAUGGGGUUCCUUUCUAGCCAGCAGCAGCCUGCUUCCAGCAGAGUGGAAAAGGGGUCUCUAGGACUGCAGCCAAGGCGCUGUCCUGCCCCCAGCCACAGCCCCCUGACCCAGGACUGCACUAGGCUGGGGCUUUCGAGUCCUCUGCUCUGUUUGCAAUGUGAGGCGCUGAGGGCCUGCAUAUCACGCACAUCCUAAGUAACCACACGAGCAGCACACAGCCCUCUGCAUCCACACUGACGUUGCACACCCCUGCGUGAGCACACACCCCUCUGCAAGGUCACCAUCCAAGUGCCUGCACAGACCCCUGCUGACAGAGACAGCCCCCCCACAUAUAGACAGAGCAAAGUGCACAGCAGAGUGGCCCCCUGGUUGGGGAGGGGCCCAGGCAGGACUCACCGGGAGGAGGUGAAGAGAGACCCAUUGACGCCUCCAAAUGUGGACAGGGCAACAGAAAUGGGCAUGAUCCAGGCCAUGACACCCAGGAGCUUCUCUCCAAAAGUCUGGGAUAGAAAGCAAGGGGAGAAAGGGAGAGGAGAGGUUACAACUCAGGCAGGGUGCACACCCCAGAAACAAUGACUGGCAUACCAGCUGUUCUCCCCUCACCCCUCAGCAUGGACUUCACUGCUGGGAAUACUUCUCUCCCAUCUCCACCCUUGCUGAUUCUCUCUGGCUAAGUUCCUCAAGAAGAGGGACAUCUACCGUACCUUGCUCCCUUGGGUACCACUGCUUUCAACUGUGAUAACUACACUGUGGGGGUUCAAUAAAGUUUUGGGAGAAUUAAUUGCAAGAGACAGUUUAUGGCGGUAAUGAUAAACACUUAUUACCUGUCUGUGGAUGAGGAAACUGAGGCACUAAGUGAUUAAGUGGCAUGGGUAAAAUCACACAUCCGGCAAGUGGAGGGGCCAGGACUGGAACCCAGGUGAUGUGAGUCCAGGCCUCAUGUACGUCAUACGAUUCCUCCAGCACAGUGAGGGCACAGGCUUGUUGUGAGGCAGGCAGAUCUGGGUUCAAUUCCUAGCCCUCCAUUUACGAGUGUGAGACCUUGAGCAAGGGUCAUGCUUUUUGAGUCUCAAUUUUCCCAUUUGUAAAAUAGGGGUGAAUUCUAAUUCAUAGGGUGGUUGUGAGGGUUCUAAGAGAUGAUUUUGGGGGAAAGGUAUAAGAACAAGCCACUAUUUAGGCUGAGAAAGAAAAGGUUGUAAAGGUAUAGACUAGUGUUCUCAUAUUGAAGGAAUAUAAAAUGUAGGGUGACUAGCCUUUUUUAUCUAUUCAGAGCCAGGUAUACACUUGGUUUAUAUAUAGCACAUUAUGGGGAAAGGAAACAGUAAUGUGGAUGGGGGAAGGGGUUGUUUACAAGAACUGUCCUGCUGGGGUAGGCUGCUGGUCAUGGGAACAGGCUGCAUGGGAAACUGGAGAACCUCUUGCUUUAGAGUUUUCAGAAACAACACCAGUGACAACACAGUUUGGCAGGAUGGGGUCAAGCCCAGCCUAAAGCCAGGUGAGGUUACAACAUGGCUCCCAGUCUUUCCCAGAUAUUAAGGAUCUCAACCCCUUGGACUUGCAUGAUCUUUUUCCCCCGAAUGCACAAUAAACAUAAUUUAAAAUUUUUCCCUUCACCUACUUUCCCAUGAUGAGGGAAGGAGUCAAACUGCACACUUCCUGGAGGAGGAAACAAAGGCAAAGAGGAAAGGCAUGUCUUCUGAAAGACAGUUUUUGAGGAGGAGCCUGUCUCCUUUAUACCAUCAUUAGAUUUUAAGGGACUGGCAAACUUUUUCUGGAGGCCCUGGGUGGUGUAAAGGUUAACACACAUGAAUACUAACCAAAAGGUCAGAGGUUUGAGUUCCCCCAGAGGUUCCCCAGAAGAAAGACCUAGUGAUCUACUUCUGAAAAACCAGCCAUUGAAAACCCUAUGGAGCGUGAUCCUACUCUGACAUACAUGGGGUUGCCAUGAGUCAGAAUCAACUUGAUGGCAACUGGUUUAAACUUUUUCUGUAAAGGGUCCAAUAGUAAACAUUUUCGGCUUCGUGGGCCAUACAGUUUCUGUCCCAACUACUCAAUUCUGCUGUUGUAGAUGUUCUAGGUACAACCUAGCUGUCACAUUGCUCUUGGGCACUUAAAGAUGCCCCAGUGAGAACAGUAUGUGGUUUCUACCCUGGAAAUUAGAAUGACUUCCAAUGUCACAAGGCCAUGUAGCAAGGAAGAGUGAGUGAGCAAGCAAGUCUGGAUCAACAUUCACGGUCUGAGAGACUGGGAUUUUGAUUUCUUACCACGGCAACUGCAUUUGAUGCCAGCAGCUCCUGGGGUGACAUUGCAGUAACAUAAGCAAUAUUGGCAAAGACAUACACAAAUGUGACCAGUGGGAUGGAGAUGUAGAUGGCUCUGGGAAGGUUCCUGUAGAGGAAGAGGAGAUGAGAGGGGGGAAGGCUUGGCACCCAGAGACCACCUGCCUCACUGUGGGGGUCUUGGGAGUGCCUCCUGCCUUUCCUGAGGCUUUGGUGGUACUCCCUCUCCCUGUGAAGUGUAUUUUGUCUCAAAACAGGCAGGAUAAUCUGAAGGAAUGAAACCAUUUAGGCUGGAAAUAUGCCUCACACCUGCUGAUCUCUUCUUUGACCUGAAUCUCCACAAUCUACCCCUGCCCCCUGCCUCAAGGCACAAAGAUCUGCCUGUCUGGAGACAAGUGACCAAGAUGCCUGGAAGCCUCUUGGGGCAAAGAAAAGAAGUCAUUCAAGGUCAGAGGACAUCUCAGGGUGUGCACACAUCCAGGGACAAUAUGAGGAGGGCCAGGGCCAGGAGCUUCCCAGCGGUGAAGAUGUCUUGAACUCGGGUGGCCCAUCGUACACUGGAACAGUUGACCCAUGUGAGGAGCACUGAAAUGACAGAUCCCCACACAUCCCCUUCAGGGGUCAUAAUGAGGCUGCAUGACGCUCACGGCACAGAAGCAGAAAUGCUCCUCGCUCCUGAUGAUGGGAUUAUAACAGUACCUCUAGAGGACACACAAGUGGAGCCAAAAAGUACUUAUUAAGAAAGACGGCUUAAUUUUCUCCUGCUGCUGCUUCAAAUGAGAACAAGUUUUUUUUGUUUUACUUUGUUUCAUUUUGGGAAGGGGUUGGAUUUCACUGCUAUAUCCCCUGUGCCAAGAACAGUACCUCGCACAUUAUGGGUACUUGAUAAAUGUUGAAUGAAUAAAAUUUUGUCAUUCUCAUUUAUAUGAUACUUCCUAAGAGUCUGUUAUGGACUGAAUGGUGUUCCCUAAAAAGAAAUGUGGAAGUCAUAAUUCCUAUACCUGUAAAUAUGACCCUAUUUGGAAAUAAGAGUUUUGUUUUGCUAACAAGGUCAUACCAGAGUAGAGUGGGUCCUAAACCUAAUGACUUCUGACUGAUGUUUUAAAAAAAGAACAGCAUAAACACACACACAAGAUAGACGCCAUGUGAGGAUGAGUAUACAAGCAAAAGAAUGCUAAGGACUGUGAGCAGAAACCAGAAACUAGGAGAGAGGUCCACAGAAGGAAUCUACAUGGCCAAGACCUGAUUUGGACUAUUAGUCUCUAGACGUAUGAGAAAGUAAAUUUCUGUUUUUUAAAGCCACUCGCUUGUGGUUUUUUUGUUUGUUUGUUUGUUUGCUAUAGCAGCACUAGGAAACUAAGGCAGAGCCCCAAUCUCUUUCUGAGUUAUACUCCUCUACAGGGGGCUUUCAAGCAGGAUCCUAGAGUAACCACCCUGAGGAAUACUUCUAACCAGAGACUACUCAGUGCUCCUCAGAGCCGUGGGGAGAACGUGGAAGGAAGAAAUAGAGAAAACACAUUCUAACCACUCAUCGCAAACACUGGACACAGUUAAAUUAAAACACAUUUAAUUUUGAUUUGUAGACAGCUAGAAUUCCUCCCCCUUAAAAGUCAAUCGAUAGUUCAUUGUGUAGUGCCUGAGGUCUUAAAAGCUAAUGAGUGGCCAUCCAAGGCACAACAAUUGGUUUACUCACCUGGAGCAACAGAGGAAGAAGGAGAGUCAGGAAAAGAAGAAUACGGAAUGUGUGUCUAAUUGCCUCCAUGAACAACUGCUCCCUUUGCCGUGAAACCAGAAGUCGAUGGUGCCCAACUAUCAUUACUGAAUAUUUUAAUCAAAGAUUCCACAGAAGAAAUCUGACCAAAAAGGGGAAAAUGCAGAAUAGAAUUUCAAGUUCUCACAUACUAUAGAAUUUCUGGAGCCACGGAGGGUGAAUGAACCCCUGAAACUACUGCCCUGAGAUAAUCUUUAAACCUUAAACCAAAAAUAUUCCCUGAAGUCACCUAGAAACUGAACACUAGUUUAGCUUAAUUAGUAAAAAAGGCCUGCCUUGAGCAUUACGCUGUUUUAAGAACUAUCUAUGUGGGAUCAAAUUGACAACUGCAAUUCAAAAGAUUAGACAGGAACCUUAGGGAGCAGUGAAUUUAUGUUAAUCGAGGAAGAAAAACUCAGAAAAGGAGGGUGAAAAUGACCGCACAACUCGAAGAAUGUAAUAAAUAUCACUAAAUUGUACAUGUACAAACUGUUGAACUGGAGUAUUUUUUGCCGAGUAUAUUACCAACAACAACAAAAUAAAUAAAAUUUAAGAAAAAAAAAAGUCAGUCGACCAAUAUGUUACUCCUAAAUCUUUGUUUCUUGUUUUUGUCAUUUCUCCAUCCUUACCAGCCUGGAUAAGUGCUUAGCCUACUAUCUGGUCUCCCUGCUUCAAAUUUUAUGGUCUUUUCUUUACUCAGAUAUGACCCUAAUCAUCUCACUCCUCUGCUCAAAAUCCUUCAGUGGCUCCCCAUUCCUUGGGUAAAAUCUGUUUUUCUCUGUAUGACAUAUGGAAUCCUUCAAGAUCCGGCUCUUGCUCACUUGUUCAGCCUCAUUUCCUGUCACUUCCCUAGGCUUUACCCACACAAAAGUACUUGCUUUUCUCCAACAGGCCACUUCUUUCUUGACGCCAGCUCUUGCCUGUGCCUUCCAAGACUCUCUGUAAUAACACCUUAUCUCCACUCAGUGUAGGAGGUCAUAUGGUGAUUAACUGAUGGAUUUCCGGUUUCUUUUUUUCCCUAGAAAAUCUAUUUACAGAAUAAUUUUAGUUUUAAUAUAUCAUAAAAAUGAAAAAUGAGAUUUUAUUUGCAUUCACCAUU
Molecule: long non-coding RNA, 8053 nt
Organism: Loxodonta africana (African savanna elephant)
Lineage: Eukaryota; Metazoa; Chordata; Mammalia; Proboscidea; Elephantidae
Exons: 5
Source: RefSeq, a predicted model, not a curated record